CAGUCGCCACGGGAAUACGUAGGGUGCGAGCGUUAAUCGGAAUUACUGGGCGUAAAGGGCACGCAGGCGGUGACUUAAGUGAGGUGUGAAAGCCCCGGGCUUAACCUGGGAAUUGCAUUUCAUACUGGGUCGCUAGAGUACUUUAGGGAGGGGUAGAAUUCCACGUGUAGCGGUGGAAUGCGUAGAGAUGUGGAGGAGUACCGAAGGCGAAGGCAGCCCCUUGGGAAUGUGCUGACGCUCAUGUGCGAAAGCGUGGGGAGCAAACAGGAUUAGAUACCCCUGUAGUCCCUGUCUCUUAUAC
This 301-nucleotide ribosomal RNA is filed under the name uncultured bacterium. RNAcentral describes it as "partial 16S ribosomal RNA". It matches the Rfam family "Bacterial small subunit ribosomal RNA", at positions 509 to 807 of the family's 1533-position model. The record is from RNAcentral.